UACGGGGGGGGCAAGCGUUGUUCGGAAUUACUGGGCGUAAAGGGCUCGUAGGCGGCCAACUAAGUCAGAUGUGAAAUCCCUCAGCUUAACUGGGGAACUGCGUCUGAUACUGGAUGGCUUGAGUUCGGGAGAGGGAUGCGGAAUUCCAGGUGUAGCGGUGAAAUGCGUAGAUAUCUGGAGGAACACCGGUGGCGAAGGCGGCAUCCUGGACCGACACUGACGCUGAGGAGCGAAAGCCAGGGGAGCAAACGGG
RNAcentral lists this ribosomal RNA (253 nucleotides) under uncultured bacterium. Its description in RNAcentral is "partial 16S ribosomal RNA". It matches the Rfam family "Bacterial small subunit ribosomal RNA", at positions 524 to 776 of the family's 1533-position model. The record is from RNAcentral.